RNAcentral lists this ribosomal RNA (419 nucleotides) under uncultured bacterium. Its description in RNAcentral is "bacterial SSU rRNA". It matches the Rfam family "Bacterial small subunit ribosomal RNA", at positions 355 to 774 of the family's 1533-position model. The record is from RNAcentral.
UGAGGAAUAUUGCACAAUGGGCGCAAGCCUGAUGCAGCGACGCCGCGUGUGGGACGAAGGGGCUACGCCUCGUAAACCACUGUAGCCCGGGACGAAAAACGCCUUAGAGGCGUUAGACGGUACCGGGAAAGUAAGUGUCGGCUAACUACGUGCCAGCAGCCGCGGUAAUACGUAGGACCCAAGCGCUGUCCGGAUUUACUGGGUGUAAAGGGUGCGCAGGCGGAUGGGUAAGUCAGGGGUGAAAGUCUGCAGCUUAACUGUAGAAUUGCCUUUGAUACUGCUCAUCUUGAGUGUGGGGGAGGUUGAUGGAAUUCCAGGUGUAGCAGUGAAAUGCGUAGAUAUCUGGAAGAACACCAGUGGCGAAGGAGGUCAACUGGCCCAUAACUGACGCUCAUGCACGAAAGCGUGGGGAGCAAACA